Long non-coding RNA from Aegilops tauschii subsp. strangulata, 3142 nucleotides. RefSeq lists it as uncharacterized. The record is from RefSeq and is a predicted model, not a curated record. Lineage: Eukaryota; Viridiplantae; Streptophyta; Magnoliopsida; Poales; Poaceae.
CACGGCCCAACUGAACAAUGAACACUCCCAAACACGAGCCCAUCCCCUCCCCGUCUUGGCGUCUCUCAAUGUGCAGCGCCGCUCACCUCACCGGCGACCCGAAUCCCUCGCCGUCCCCGUACAUGAUACCCGGCGCGUGUCCACUUGGUCUCCGUUCCGCUCCGCCGCGCUGCGAGGUGCUUUACCUGUCUCAUGCAUCUGAUUCAAGCGAAGCUGGAUGACAAUUUGCUAGUUCUGUGUCUUCCUGCCAUGGUAUGUUUAGCAGGGAAGAGUCCUUCCUAAAGAGCACAAUUGUGUUGUAUGUGGGUGACAUGGCAAGUACACAUGUGGCCAAAUAAUGGAAGCUUUUGACUCUGUUAAUGCUUUUUCGAAGCGGACUCUGUUAAUGCUAGGUAUCUGCAAAGAAACAGUUAUGUUCCCAGUUGACAAAAUCUCUAGUUGUUCAAAUGUGCAGUUGUGGCACUUAUGGACUAGCAAGGACCAUUUGCAGUUGCUCCUGUUGGUGGAAGAGCAAGCAAUAGUGCUUCAAAAGGAUCUACCUUUUAAAACUUCUCUAUGGCGAUCCUUUGCCCCAGAAAUGGAGAAAUUGAGAUGUGUGGUACCACUAUCUAUAGUAGGCUGGUUGAUCCUACAAUGUUGAACCUUAUAAUCUUCUGCACCCUUGUUUGGAUGAUUUAGAUUGUUUAAAGUCAAUGACAUGUAGGUAUUUAUAGGCCAUGUAACUCUUUCAAGCACUUCCACAAGACCUAAUUGCGUCAUUUUAACCAGGUUGUGAUGUUUCAGCAUUCAGCAGCAGUAUGUUUGAUCAGGAAGACUAAAACUCUGGUGACAGUAAUAUAUGUACCAGAUGGAAACAAAGUAAGCUGUACAAAGGAUUUGAACAACUGAACAAGUAGUCACCAUUGUGGAGUUGUAGAAUUUUCAUUACAGGAGAAAUAUCUGCCACUGUUUCUAACAAGUUUAUGGACAGAGUAUGAAUCGUGGAUUUUGAGAGUAUGCCAAGUCAUAUUUAGUUAACCUGAAAAAUUCCUCCAAGCAGUAUCUUGAAUGGAGGACGGGGAUGUGUUAAUUUCUUUGCGAUUGAGGAUGACUGCAAGAUUUUAGUUGGUCUGUUCAUUCUCUGAAGCCUGUCGGAGUGCAGUGGCGACUCUUCGUCUCUUUGACAUGCAUUCUAUAGCAUAAAUUCAUAUGACAAAUGUAAAUUAUCUGCCCCUAUGUCAGUGUAAACAAUAUAUGAGUCAAAUACAAAGUCUUCGCAAAAAGGUAUACAUUACAGUGGAAACCAUGCACUGCAAGUGUGCGGUUGCUGAUAUACCAAUUACCAAGUCUUAUGACCCUAACCCUACAAGUUUCUAUACCAAUAAUACUACAAGUUAGGUGAGAUGCUUUCCGUUUGAACUAUUUGUGAAUCCUUAAUUCAGUUUAUAAAUCACAAUACAUUGGUUGUUGGCAAAAAAUAGACUCUCAACCCUAAUCACUUCUAUAUUAAUAGGCACAUGAUUAGUCUCUGAUAUAGUCUUUUGUUACAACCUAGUGUGAACUUAUCCCUCGAGUGGUUUAUGGGAGAAAUAAUUUCAGUGAGCUUCUAUUUUAAAUACGUUUUUCUUUGUAUGUGUGAAUUGCCUUAAAAAUACUUAUCAUAUCUGUCCUACUUAUGCUCGUCUGUUCACUCUUCUCCCAAUCUUCCUCCUUCAAACUCUGACAGGGCAGGACCAUGCAAACCUUCACGGUCCUCCUGAAUUCCCCCCUCGUGCCGUCUCCUUCCACUAAUUACAUUCGGACCAACUGUCAAACAAGUUCUUGUUCUUGGGUAUACCAAAUUCCACCUUGUUUUCUGUGGUUCGUGGCGUAGCACAGGCACCUUGCUGGUAAGCAGUAGAAUAUAGUGGAAAUGUACACUUAAAAUUGAUUCUUCACUUACAAGCUAAGGAAUGCAUGACGUCCUUUGUCUAACAGUUUACGUUUGCAGCCUCCUCUUUAUCCAAAAGUUGAAACAUAGCAGCUUUCCAUUUUUCUACUCAUUGGCAUUGCCAGGGUAAUACUCCUGCUAUCUUUACCAUCCACUUGACAAUGUCAUUAAUCAAUUAGUUGGCAUGUACAUGCACCAUAAUUUGGGCCAUUUUAGGUGGAUCUGGGGGAUAACAGUGUCAACAUCGCUGGGUAACUUAAUGCGAUAUGCCUUACAAAUGUUGAAUGUUGAUUAGGAUGGCAUCGCCAGAUUGAUUCCAAUGAGUGUAGCAAAGGGCAAAGUUAAUGUUGGGGGACCAGUACACCUACACUACUGGACAUAUUGAAUGCAUGCUUUUGCAACAUGGGAGGUCCUUCACCAGCUACUGUGGCACCACAAGAUGUCAAGGCGGGACUAGUAUGAUCUUUUUCAGAAAAUAUAGCAGCAGCAGCAGUGUCACUACCCUAAAUCAUUGGAGCAUCAUAUAUCUAACAAUUUGUUCUGCAGGACAUAUUAGGAGCACUAAUUGUCAUAAUAUUUCAGCUUUGCUGUGCGGAGCCCAUUUAUUAUGUUUUGAUGGAUGGAGACCUGAAGUGGUGAUCACCUUUUCUGAUAACAAGGACAUGACGAGAAAGGCAAACUGAUUUGUUUGUAUCUAAGCAUCCCAACUCAGUAGGGAUCUCGCUAUAUUGGCAUCGCUUUUGCUUCUGGCCACCACCAUUGGAUUUCACCAAGCAAUUUUCUUAGAGCAUCUGAUGAUUCGUGACUGAUCCCUUGUGUAUUACAAGAGGGUUACACACGGGAACAUCCAGGAAUUGCAUGGAGAGUCUCAUGCGCAGGAGUAAUUGAUUGACAGAUGUUUUCGGUAAAUCGCAUUCUUCGUCUCGUUUGGGCUUACCAAAUGAUUUCGAAAACUCGGGGUGCACGCUAUCUCUUACCUUCGGUGAUUACUCCUUCCGGCUAUACGAAGUACUAACAUGCCGCAUACAUGUUCAAAAUUUUGUGCUUGCAUAGUUGCAUUCAUAUGAUGGUCCAUUUACAAAUUUUGGAACCUUGUUCUUAAUUAGGGUUACGACUAUGGGACUAGAAUGAACAGUGCUUACAGACGACUGUCUUGUCAAACUAAGAAUGUGCAAAUAUCACCUCACCAUAUUCCGGAUAUCCCUUUGAUGAAGAGAGACGCUUAAAUUCGCC